UACGUAGGGUGCGAGCGUUAAUCGGAAUUACUGGGCGUAAAGCGUGCGCAGGCGGUUUUUUAAGUCAGAUGGGAAAUCCCCGAGGUCAACUUUGGAACUGCGUUUGAAACUACAAGACUAGAGUAGGUCAGAGGGGGGUAGAAUUCCACGUGUAGCAGUGAAAUGCGUAGAGAUGUGGAGGAAUACCAAUGGCGAAGGCAGCCCCCUGGGAUCAUACUGACGCUCAUGCACGAAAGCGUGGGGAGCAAGCAGG
RNAcentral lists this ribosomal RNA (253 nucleotides) under uncultured bacterium. RNAcentral's name for it is "partial 16S ribosomal RNA". It matches the Rfam family "Bacterial small subunit ribosomal RNA", at positions 524 to 776 of the family's 1533-position model. The record is from RNAcentral.